This 505-nucleotide ribosomal RNA is filed under the name uncultured bacterium. RNAcentral describes it as "partial 16S ribosomal RNA". It matches the Rfam family "Bacterial small subunit ribosomal RNA", at positions 28 to 507 of the family's 1533-position model. The record is from RNAcentral.
GACGAACGCUGGCGGCGUGCCUAAUACAUGCAAGUAGAACGCACAGUUUAUACCGUAGCUUGCUACACCAUAGACUGUGAGUUGCGAACGGGUGAGUAACGCGUAGGUAACCUGCCUGGUAGCGGGGGAUAACUAUUGGAAACGAUAGCUAAUACCGCAUAAUAUUAAUUAUUGCAUGAUAAUUAAUUGAAAGGUGCAAUUGCACCACUACCAGAUGGACCUGCGUUGUAUUAGCUAGUAGGUGAGGUAACGGCUCACCUAGGCGACGAUACAUAGCCGACCUGGGAGGGUGAUCGGCCACACUGGGACUGAGACACGGCCCAGACUCCUACGGGAGGCAGCAGUAGGGAAUCUUCGGCAAUGGACGAAAGUCUGACCGAGCAACGCCGCGUGAGUGAAGAAGGUUUUCGGAUCGUAAAGCUCUGUUGUAAGAGAAGAACGGGUGCGAGAGUGGAAAGUUCACACUGUGACGGUAUCUUACCAGAAAGGGACGGCUAACUACGUG